UAGUCCACGCUGUAAACGAUGAUCACUCGUUGUUGGCGAUACACUGUCAGCGACCAAGCGAAAGCAUUAAGUGAUCCACCUGGGGAGUACGGUCGCAAGAUUGAAACUCAAAGGAAUUGACGGGGGCCCGCACAAGCGGUGGAGCAUGUGGUUUAAUUCGAUGAUACGCGAGGAACCUUACCAAGGCUUAAAUGUACUACGAUCCCCUGGGAAACCGGGGUUUUCUUCGGAACGAAGUACAAGGUGCUGCAUGGUUGUCGUCAGCUCGUGCCGUGAGGUGUCGGGUUAAGUCCCAUAACGAGCGCAACCCCUAUUCUUAGUUGCCAGCGAGUAAUGUCGGGAACUCUAAGAAAACUGCCCGUGCAAACGGUGAGGAAGGUGGGGAUGACGUCAAAUCAUCACGGCCCUUACGUCUUGGGCUACACACGUGCUACAAUGGCCGGUACAGAGGGCAGCUACCUGGUGACAGGAUGUAAAUCUCGAAAGCCGGUACUCAGUUCGGAUUGAAGUCUGCAACUCGACUU
This 524-nucleotide ribosomal RNA is filed under the name uncultured bacterium. Its description in RNAcentral is "bacterial SSU rRNA". It matches the Rfam family "Bacterial small subunit ribosomal RNA", at positions 791 to 1318 of the family's 1533-position model. The record is from RNAcentral.